This 101-nucleotide transfer RNA is filed under the name Candidatus Buchananbacteria bacterium. RNAcentral's name for it is "tRNA-Ile". The record is from RNAcentral. Lineage: Bacteria; Candidatus Buchananiibacteriota.
AGGGCUCAGGGGUUACCCGCCCGAACGUACCCGUUCGGUACGGGCGGGGAGCAGCUACCCUUAUAAGGUAGAUGUCGAUGGUUCGAGACCAUCCAGGCCUA